Aquimarina sp. is the source of this 30-nucleotide regulatory RNA element. It matches the Rfam family "L19-Flavobacteria ribosomal protein leader". The record is from Rfam. Lineage: Bacteria; Pseudomonadati; Bacteroidota; Flavobacteriia; Flavobacteriales; Flavobacteriaceae.
CAACCUCUGGCGAAAAUCGUGAAUAUGUUG